CCUACGGGUGGCUGCAGUGGGGAAUAUUGGACAAUGGAGGGAACCCUGAUCCAGCGACGCCGCGUGAGUGAAGAAGUCUUUCGGUAUGUAAAGCUCUAUCAGCAGGGAAGAAAGCAAUGACGGUACCUGACUAAGAAGCCCAGGCUAACUACGUGCCAGCAGCCGCGGUAAUACGUAGGGGGCAAGCGUUAUCCGGAUUUACUGGGUGUAAAGGGAGCGUAGACGGCGAGGGAAGUCUGAGGUGAAAGGCGGGGGCUCAACCCCCGGACUGGCUGGGAAACUGUAUGGCUGGAGUGCAGUAGAGGUAAGUGGAAUGCCUAGUGUAGCGGUGAAAUGCGUAGAGAUUAGGAGGAACACCAGUGGCGAAGGCGGCUUACUGGACUGUAACUGACGUUGAGGCUCGAAAGCGUGGGGAGCAAACAGGAUUAGAUACCCCAGUAGUC
Molecule: ribosomal RNA, 443 nt
Filed under: uncultured bacterium
Lineage: Bacteria
Description: partial 16S ribosomal RNA
Rfam family: Bacterial small subunit ribosomal RNA
Source: RNAcentral